CCAUGUCACUUCUAUCAUGUUUGUUGUUAGUCGUUAUGACUAACUUUCUUUCCAAAUGUUACAUCCUUGAAACGUGCAACGUCAGCACAUUAUUGUCACGGCUUCCAAGGUCAUUAACUAGCCACUAAACCAGAUGUUGAUGCUUUGUUUUGAUUUAAUCAUCGUUUUCCUCGCUUUGAGGCUCCUUGUUGUCUCCAAACAUGUCAUAUGUCCAUAUUUCUGGGAGAAACUCUC
RNAcentral lists this long non-coding RNA (234 nucleotides) under Lathyrus oleraceus (garden pea). RNAcentral's name for it is "Pisum sativum (pea) long non-coding RNA (PSAT_LNC023022)". The record is from RNAcentral. Lineage: Eukaryota; Viridiplantae; Streptophyta; Magnoliopsida; Fabales; Fabaceae.